UACAAACCGCGCCAUGCUGGUGCUUGGACCUCACCGUCCAGGCUUAAUAGGGAACCCGGUUUGAUUCCGGGACUGCCCCGCAGCGGUAAGUGAGAACGAACCUCGUCAUCCGCACUGGUUCCUCGGAACUGGGAAGCGACGAGAAGUAGGAAGCCGGCGUCAAGCCGAAGCGCUCACGAGUCCGAAGACCUGCCCGCAUCCGCCCGUGGGA
RNAcentral lists this non-coding RNA (211 nucleotides) under Myxococcus stipitatus. The record is from RNAcentral. Lineage: Bacteria; Pseudomonadati; Myxococcota; Myxococcia; Myxococcales; Myxococcaceae.